UAGCAUUCAAUUUAUGCAUGAUAAUUAAGCGUGCACUCUCAACCAACACACACAAAUCAAUGUAAUUCUCAUAGAUAAGUAAAUUGAAUUCACAACUUAUGAAACGCAAUUAGAAGUAAUCAAAUCAUAUCGCAAGCAUAAACAUGUAUUUCGAAUCCCCCCCUAGCCAAGGGGGAGUUUAGUUCCUCAUACACACAAAACAAAGAGAAUUGAAUUUAAACAUUGAAAUCAAAGGAAAAGAAACACCUAGAAAUUCCAGCGACUCGAACUUGAAUUGCAUGAACUUCCAAGCUUCCUUCUCCUCUUCCUUGGUGCGGCAAAGGGUCUAGGGACAGGUUUAGGGCCUUAGGUGUAUGGAUGAAUGGUUAUGGAAGGAUGUAGUAGUGUUUAGGGGAAGGGGAUGGUGCGGCAAGAACUUAAAAACUAGGGAGAAGGGUGUUUGGUGGCUGCGGCAAAGGUGUGGAGAGGUUUGGGCGAAUUUCUGAUUUUGUGGAGUGAAUUAUGAAUGUGAGAGGUGGUGAAUUCGGCCAAGGGGGUUUAUGAAUAUUUAUAGGCACUUAAAACCCUAGGUAAAUCAGAUAUGGACUUGAAUAACCCAAAUCCACAAGGAAAGAGGCUUAAAAAUCAGAAUUAAAAGGGGAAAAGACCUCCUAGGUGCGGCAGGUUUAGAUAAGGUAAGAUAAGGCUUCUAGAAAGCCUUGCAAGGCAAGGAAAUAGGUUCUAGAUAAGGUUAUGCACGGCAAGGAAGGAUAGGGUUUCUAGAAACCCUCCAAAACAAGGGAAAAUGCACGGCAUACUUCUAAGACAAGGAUAAGGUGUCCUAAAGUAUUUGGGACUCCUCUUUCUUCUUGGAAACCUUCUCCUUCUUCAACUUGGAAUACUUCUUUGUUACUGAAAAUCAAGGCCAAUUAGGGUUCACUUUCCCACUUCAAGUAGGAAACCUUGUUUGAGUAGGAAACUUCAUUCGUCUAGGAAUCCAUCUUCAACUAGGAAUCCUUGAUUGAUUAGGACACCUUCUUGGACUAGGAUUUCAUCUUCAAUUUGGCUCUUUCCUACUCCAACUAGGAAUCCUUGUUCAAGUAGGAAUCAUCAUCUUCAAAUCUUCAUUUUCGUCCAAACCCUUGGCUCCAAAUAUGUGAUAUCCAAUCCAAGCUCCAUUUUGCUCCAAAAGGCUCCAAAUUGCUUCUUUUUAUGUAAUAUGCCUUUAAAACCUGAAAACACAAGAAACUAGCUUAAAAGACUACUUUACUAAGGAAAAACACUAUAAAUGCACAAGAACAAGCUAAACUAAGGCGCAUAAAUAUGCUCCUAACACUUGUUCUCGUGCAUUUAUGUUAUGUUUCGUUAGCUAUUUUAGUGUUUAAAGUUACUUUUGUGUGUUUUCAGAUUCUAGAGGCAAAGUAUGCAUUUUGGAGCCCUUUGGAGCCUUUUGGAGCAAAAGGAAUGGAUGAAUUGAAGACUUGAAGAAAUUAGGAUUCCUAAUCAACGAAGGAUUCCUAAUUGAAGAUGGAUUCCUAAUCACAUGAGGAUUUCUAGAAGAACAAGGAUUCCUACUCCAAGAAGGAUUCCUACUUGAAAUAGGAAAGUUAAGCCAAGGUUUCCUACUUUGGUUUGACCUUUCCUAAAUGUUCCUAAGUUUUAUCAACUUUGAAGGCAUCCUAUGCAUUCUAGGACAUCAAAUACACAUACCUUGCACAUUGUGAACCCUUGCCGCACCCCCUUUCUGA
RNAcentral lists this long non-coding RNA (1727 nucleotides) under Malus domestica (apple). RNAcentral describes it as "long non-coding RNA (MDOM_LNC019650)". Lineage: Eukaryota; Viridiplantae; Streptophyta; Magnoliopsida; Rosales; Rosaceae. The record is from RNAcentral.